This 704-nucleotide ribosomal RNA is filed under the name Pseudoscorpiones sp. NZAC 03012358. Its description in RNAcentral is "eukaryotic LSU rRNA". It matches the Rfam family "Eukaryotic large subunit ribosomal RNA", at positions 396 to 862 of the family's 3401-position model. Lineage: Eukaryota; Metazoa; Arthropoda; Arachnida; Pseudoscorpiones. The record is from RNAcentral.
UACGUGAAACCGUUCAGAGGUAAACGGGUGGGGCCUCGAAGUCCCAGGUCGGUGGUGCACUCAGGUCGGUAGCGAAGCCCGUUUGUCUUCCCGUUGUGGCACCACGAGCGGUGCCGCGGGGACAGACGCGAGCCUCGGGCCCGCUCCGCACUUGCACCCCCGUACCAGCGGGGCGCCGCAAUCGGUUGGAUCGAUCGUCGUGCGGAACAGGGCGGAAGGUGGCUGCCGUGGCCCUCGGGCUGCAGUGGUGUUACAGACGCUCUAAACUUCCCGGCGGGUCGUUCGACCGUGGUGGGUUCACAAUCUCCCGAGCGCGUUCUCUUCCGAGCGACGCAGAACUCCGGGUGCAGUGGGGUUUUCCACGACCGUCGGACCUGUGAAGGUGUGCCGGGCUGGGUUCCUCGCUCGCUGACCAACUUAAACGGAGAAUAUGCGGGGGAGCGCGGAGAUUUGCGGCGAGUAGUCGGCAUCCCACCCGACCCGUCUUGAAACACGGACCAAGGAGUCCAAGGCGCGUGCGAGUUCCCGGGACUUGACUAGGCCCGAGGGCGCAAUGAAAGUGAGCAGCUGGGAUCCGUUGCACUAGUGCGGCGGCGCACCAGCGGCCCGUCUCUCUCCGGUUUCGGAAGGGCGGAGCUUGAGCACGUGCCUUGGGACCCGAAAGAUGGUGAACUAUGCCUGGGCAGGACGAAGCCAGAGGAAAC